This 831-nucleotide ribosomal RNA is filed under the name Pogonia ophioglossoides. RNAcentral describes it as "eukaryotic LSU rRNA". The stretch from base 343 to 497 matches the Rfam family "5.8S ribosomal RNA". The record is from RNAcentral. Lineage: Eukaryota; Viridiplantae; Streptophyta; Magnoliopsida; Asparagales; Orchidaceae.
UUGUGACGUGGGCGGUCCACUGCGCAUGACACAGCGAGAAGUCCAUUGAACCUUAUCAUUUAGAGGAAGGAGAAGUCGUAACAAGGUUUCCGUAGGUGAACCUGCGGAAGGAUCAUUGUCGAGACACUUGGAUGAUCAGCCGACCUUGCAAAACCAUGUGGGCCUCCGGCAGAUGUUGUGCAUGCAUCAUUUGCACGGUUAUGGCCAUCCUCGGGAAUCAAACAAGCAAGCUGGGUGCCAUAGGCACCAAGGUAUAUGUAACAUCGUUGGCAGGUUUGCUGGUGCUUGGCAAGUCUCAGAUGCGAUGGCUACUUGUAUGUAGCAUACGUUUUUGACCUUUACAACUCUCGGCAACGGAUAUCUUGGCUCUCGCAUCGAUGAAGAACGCAGCGAAAUGUGAUAUGUGGUGUGAAUUGCAGAAUCCCGUGAACCAUUGAGUAUUUGAACGCAAGUUGCGCUCGAGGCAGUUUGCCGAGGGCGUGCCUGCCUGGGCGUCUUUCGAUCUUUUGCUCCACCAUGAAGAAGGCAGGCUUGGAAAAUUGCAUGCCCGGCGUCUUCAGUGUGGAUGCGAUUGGUGGCCCCUCGUGCCAUAGGCACGGUGGGUUAAAGAGCGGUAGUCGGUCGGCAAGUUCUUGGCAAUUUGUGGGUGGUGCAUUGGCCAAGCAUGGUCGAUGUUCGCAUGCGAUCGCCAGUGCGGCCGAACGACUUAUGAUCCUUAUAAAUCCAUUUGUUACAUGGCCUGUCUCGAAUUGGCUAUGGGACGUGACCUCAGGCCAGGUGCGGCCACCCGCUGAGUUUAAGCAUAUUAAUAAGCGGAAGGAGAAGGAACUU